UACGUGGGGGGCAAGCGUUGUUCGGAAUUACUGGGCGUAAAGGGCUCGUAGGUGGCCAACUAAGUCAGACGUGAAAUCCCUCGGCUUAACCGGGGAACUGCGUCUGAUACUGGAUGGCUUGAGUUCGGGAGAGGGAUGCGGAAUUCCAGGUGUAGCGGUGAAAUGCGUAGAUAUCUGGAGGAACACCGGUGGCGAAGGCGGCAUCCUGGGCCGACACUGACGCUGAGGAGCGAAAGCCAGGGGAGCAAACGGG
This 253-nucleotide ribosomal RNA is filed under the name uncultured bacterium. RNAcentral describes it as "partial 16S ribosomal RNA". It matches the Rfam family "Bacterial small subunit ribosomal RNA", at positions 524 to 776 of the family's 1533-position model. The record is from RNAcentral.